Molecule: ribosomal RNA, 401 nt
Filed under: uncultured bacterium
Lineage: Bacteria
Also listed under: 1 other name
Description: bacterial SSU rRNA
Rfam family: Bacterial small subunit ribosomal RNA
Source: RNAcentral
CUAAGCUUGACAUCCUUUUGACCGAUGCCUAAUCGCAUCUUUCCCUUCGGGGACAGAAGUGACAGGUGGUGCAUGGUUGUCGUCAGCUCGUGUCGUGAGAUGUUGGGUUAAGUCCCGCAACGAGCGCAACCCUUGCCUUUAGUUGCCAGCAUUAAGUUGGGCACUCUAGAGGGACUGCCAGGGAUAACCUGGAGGAAGGUGGGGAUGACGUCAAAUCAUCAUGCCCCUUAUGCUUAGGGCUACACACGUGCUACAAUGGGUGGUACAGAGGGCAGCCAAGUCGUGAGGCGGAGCUAAUCCCUUAAAGCCAUUCUCAGUUCGGAUUGUAGGCUGAAACUCGCCUACAUGAAGCUGGAGUUACUAGUAAUCGCAGAUCAGAAUGCUGCGGUGAAUGCGUUCCC